Scylla paramamosain (green mud crab) is the source of this 1865-nucleotide long non-coding RNA. RefSeq lists it as uncharacterized. The record is from RefSeq and is a predicted model, not a curated record. The transcript has 2 exons. Lineage: Eukaryota; Metazoa; Arthropoda; Malacostraca; Decapoda; Portunidae.
AUGUUUGAUGCACAGUGGUGAUCAGGCCUGCCUCUACAGCUUCCUGGUGAGGGUGAAUGUGUAACGAGGAGAAAUAACUACCAAGGAACAGAUUAUGGCCUUUAUAUAUAGGGUUAUAUAGUGCGUCAAAUGGGCGGCAAUAUCUCAGCAGUGACAGAAAGAAGGGCAAACGUUGUCUCCGCAGCAGCUACUGGCCGACACAUCUAAUGGACGGUUGGGCGCGGCUACUCCAUGAUAUAAGGAGAGGCUCCGGCGCAGCGCCCACAGACGACUGUCCGACGUGGGAGAGCACAGACCCUCCUCCACGACUCCGCUGCCUCGCCGCCACUCACUCUAUCGCUCUUCUCCCGCUCUCUCUUCGUCUGCCAUCACACAAACAUUUCUAGUUCCCAGAUAUGUUGUAACGUAUGCUUUCCCAUCUGCAUCUUUUUCUACCUGUUCUUGUUUUCUGUCCCUCUCAGUUGUUCUAUUCUGCAGGUAAUGAAACAGAGCAAGUCUAUGAUCAACCCGCCAUCGCCACAGCACCCACCAACUCACGCCUGAUGCACGCGACAGUUGAGUAACCUCGUUCCAGCGGUGCACAGGAGCCGGUCAGGUGGAGGGGGAGGGACGGGCAGCGAAAGGACAGGUGAUGGAGGGCGAGCAGCCGGACUCCAGACAAGAAACUAAUCGUCGCUGCCACAAUUGCACGACUCACGGCCACCGUCCUGUCCCUUCCCGACCCCCGUCCCCGGUCAUGCUCCCUCGCACCCGCCUGAUCUUCGCCUCCGUCCUUUAUGGCCUCCACGUGAUGUACAUAAAACAUAAGUGACUCACGGACGGAAAUAAGUGAGGCUCGUGUUCCCUGGCCAAUGUCGUCUGUGGACCGCGAACACCUGACUCAUGAGCACCUUGAUUAUAGAGGCAAUGCAACUUGUCAAGGGAGGGAGGCACCUUGAGAGACUAUAUGGUUGUCUCUAUCUUCCCAUAUGUCUUCCUAGCUGUAGAAUUGCCUGUCUCUCCAUAUGCCUGCCUAUACAUUUGUCUCUGUCUAUGGGGGGGCGGUUUGUAACAACGUUUUACAUGGAAUUUAUAUCAUACCAGCAAAUCUACUUUGUUUACAUAACUUUUCUACUAUUCCUUCAUAUAUUCUGUUACAUAUUUACCAUAGCCAGUCCUUAGCAAUUAACUUUUAGCAACCAUAGAGGAAAAAACCCCACAGGAAGAGGCGGGGGAACAUGCAUUUCAUCAGAAGUCAAAAAAAAACAAAAAAAAAAAAACAUACGUGCCACAAUAAAACAUAAAAAAAAAAGUCUCCUGAGUUUCUUUAUCUGAAGGAAACGUACCAUAACUCACACUAUCGCGGUGUAAAAACGACACCCGCAAAAAAAAAAAAUGCAUAUAUCCUGCUUGUUACUUAUAAUGUAUGCGUUUGAUCCCCUCCUCUAUGGAUUACCGUACAUCCUCUCCGUCCAGCUGCAGGUGUUAAUGCCACAUAAGGAGCCCUCCACCCAUUCCGCUCCACCCUACAACCCCGCCCACACCUCCCCGCCCACCCCACCGUCGCCCACACGCACAGGACGUCGCCCUGGAGUAUAUGGGGAUGAAGGCGGGCGGGCGGGUCGUCGCAACACAGGAUAUGGAGUCGUGCGAUCACCCAGCGGCGUAUACAGAAUCGAGGCGCCGCGGAUAUGAAUGUCAUGAGUCACCGCGGCUGAAAAUGUGCGAUUCUUAUUCCGCAGAGAGACACGUGAGGGGGAAUCAAAUAUGUAUGAGUAAAAUCAAAGCGUGUCAGCCAAUGCAUAGGUGCAGCUAAUGGUAUCUAAGCUGCAUCAGAGCCCCAAACAAGAUGAGGAAACCUGUCAUCACAUAUCAUUCUCUUGUAC